GAGUUUUCUAAAAUAUCCAGCCAGAUGAGUUAUUUUCUCAGUGACAAAAGAGACCUUUCUCUUGUCUGUGGAAAGAGAGGACCAGUAGUGUCUCCAGAAUCAGGCCGAACAUCUACGGACCUCUUCUGAGAGCCUCCGUCCACAACGGAUGGGCCACACCGCAGACUGGACACAGCUGAAGCGGGGCAGGGGGUGGGGUGGGGAGGGGAGAAUUCACGGAGGUAACCUGGGCUUCAAUUGGUCUGUCAGCUGCUUUGACUGCUUUGGGCAUCUUUGAAUACAAAAAGCCAUGUCCUCAUCGGACACUGGGAAAGGACAAUCUAUCUGCACAUCCAGCCCUAUGGGCUGGAGUCUCCCAAACGAGGCCAUCGUUUGUUUUUGGCAACUCUGCUCCACCACAAUAUUCAUCAGACUCCUGAGAAAGACGACCGAUGAAGGGAUCCAUAAAUGGUUUCCAGUUUCCUCCCACUGUGUUGACUGGAAGCACUGAGAACGAAAACCGCUUUUCCCUGAAGCCCCGCAAACCGAAGCCAGACCACCCGAGGUACACGUGAGAGAAAAGUGGCCCGGUGAUCUAAGGGCCACUCAGAAAGAUCACCAGAGACACACAGAUAGCUGAACAAGCUGAUCGCAGCCAUCCCGACUGGACAAGCUGCCAUCGGAGCAUCCAGACGUGGACGUGUUCACGGAUGGGGACAGUGUCACGGGUCAAAGACAAGGAAGAGCUGGGUGCAGUGGUGACCCAUCAGC
Leopardus geoffroyi (Geoffroy's cat) is the source of this 750-nucleotide long non-coding RNA. RefSeq lists it as uncharacterized. NCBI's taxonomy places the organism in Eukaryota, Metazoa, Chordata, Mammalia, Carnivora, Felidae. The record is from RefSeq and is a predicted model, not a curated record. The transcript has 2 exons.